GAUGAACGUUGGCGGUGUGCCUAAUACAUGCAAGUCGAACGGAGACUGUAGCAAUACUGUCUUAGUGGCGAACGGGUGAGUAACGCGUUGGUGAUCUGCCUCGAAGUGUGGAAUAACCUCCCGAAAGGGAGGCUAAUACCGCAUAGUCUCUCAAGGUUUAGAAAAUUGAGGGUAAAGGAUUUAUUCGCUUCGAGAGGAGCCUGCGUCCCAUCAGCUAGUUGGUAGGGUAACGGCCUACCAAGGCAAUGACGGGUAGGGGACCUGAGAGGGUGGCCCCCCACAAUGGAACUGAAACACGGUCCAUACACCUACGGGUGGCAGCAGUAGGGAAUAUUAGAAAUGGGCGGAAGCCUGAUCUAGCAACACCGCGUGUGCGAUGAAGGCCUUCGGGUCGUAAAGCACUUUUUGGAGGGAAUAGGAAGGAAGGUACCUCCAGAAUAAGUCUCGGCUAACUACGUG
This 459-nucleotide ribosomal RNA is filed under the name uncultured bacterium. Its description in RNAcentral is "bacterial SSU rRNA". It matches the Rfam family "Bacterial small subunit ribosomal RNA", at positions 28 to 507 of the family's 1533-position model. The record is from RNAcentral.